UUGUGGAGGAGGACGCCGAAGGUGGGGCUAAUGACUGGGGUGAAGUCGUAACAAGGUAGCCGUACUGGAAGGUGCGGCUGGAUCACCUCCUAACAGGGAGACAACACAAUGUUAAAUAUUAAUUUUGUCACCUUAGGUCGAUCGGUAUCUCACAUUCUUAAUUCAUUAAGGAUUUCAUUUCCUAAGUUUUUUCUAGGUCACACCCAUUACUUUUUCCUGGGCCAUUAGCUCAGGUGGUUAGAGCGCACCCCUGAUAAGGGUGAGGUCCCUGGUUCAAGUCCAGGAUGGCCCAUAUCUCUAUGUUGGGGGUAUAGCUCAGUUGGUAGAGCGCCUGCUUUGCAAGCAGGAUGUCAGCGGUUCGAGUCCGCUUACCUCCACUGAUCACCACCUCUUCCAUAAUUUAUAGAAGGGAAAUGUAUUGAGUUGUGAUCAAAUUCUGAACGAAUCUAGCUUCCUAAUUAUCUUUAUUAAGAUGCUGGACUCAUUGAAUUAAUUUCAUUGUUUUCAGAGAACCUUGACAACUGCAUAGAUUAUUUUUAAAGACAAUAAGCAUCUUUAAUGAUGCAGAUUUAUUAUUUGUGCGAAUGCAUUAAUAACAAUUCUAUUAAGCUGAUGCUUCAAUUUUGAAGUUAUUGGUCAAGCUACAA
RNAcentral lists this unclassified non-coding RNA (647 nucleotides) under uncultured Prochlorococcus sp. RNAcentral's name for it is "partial 16S-23S ribosomal RNA intergenic spacer; may also contain 16S ribosomal RNA and 23S ribosomal RNA". The stretch from base 305 to 377 matches the Rfam family "tRNA". The record is from RNAcentral. Lineage: Bacteria; Bacillati; Cyanobacteriota; Cyanophyceae; Synechococcales; Prochlorococcaceae.